Molecule: ribosomal RNA, 207 nt
Filed under: Shewanella baltica
Lineage: Bacteria; Pseudomonadati; Pseudomonadota; Gammaproteobacteria; Alteromonadales; Shewanellaceae
Description: partial 16S ribosomal RNA
Rfam family: Bacterial small subunit ribosomal RNA
Source: RNAcentral
UAGCUAGUUGGUGAGGUAAUGGCUCACCAAGGCGACGAUCCCUAGCUGUUCUGAGAGGAUGAUCAGCCACACUGGAACUGAGACACGGCCCAGACUCCUACGGGAGGCAGCAGUGGGGAAUAUUGCACAAUGGGGGAAACCCUGAUGCAGCCAUGCCGCGUGUGUGAAGAAGGCCUUCGGGUUGUAAAGCACUUUCAGUAGGGAGGA